GAUGAACGCUGGCGGCGUGCCUAACACAUGCAAGUCGAGCGAUGAAAUUUUCUUCGGGAAAUGGAUUAGCGGCGGACGGGUGAGUAACACGUGGGUAACCUGCCUCAUAGUGGGGGAUAGCCUUCCGAAAGGGAGAUUAAUACCGCAUAACAUCAUUAGAUGGCAUCAUUUAGUGAUCAAAGGAUUUAUUCGCUAUGAGAUGGACCCGCGUCGCAUUAGCUAGUUGGUAGGGUAAUGGCUUACCAAGGCGACGAUGCGUAGCCGACCUGAGAGGGUGAUCGGCCACAUUGGGACUGAGACACGGCCCAGACUCCUACGGGAGGCAGCAGUGGGGAAUAUUGCACAAUGGGGGAAACCCUGAUGCAGCAACGCCGCGUGAGUGAUGACGGUCUUCGGAUUGUAAAGCUCUGUCUUUGGGGACGAUAAUGACGGUACCCAAGGAGGAAGCCACGGCUAACUAC
RNAcentral lists this ribosomal RNA (461 nucleotides) under uncultured bacterium. Its description in RNAcentral is "bacterial SSU rRNA". It matches the Rfam family "Bacterial small subunit ribosomal RNA", at positions 28 to 504 of the family's 1533-position model. The record is from RNAcentral.